RNAcentral lists this long non-coding RNA (2466 nucleotides) under Anas platyrhynchos platyrhynchos (common mallard). Its description in RNAcentral is "lncRNA (ENSAPLG00000019445.1)". Lineage: Eukaryota; Metazoa; Chordata; Aves; Anseriformes; Anatidae. The record is from RNAcentral.
GUGCAGUGUUUAGGCAAUAUUGUGUCUAAAUUAGGUAGGCUAGCAAAAUCUGUCACAUCACCUUCACCUCCUUCCUUCUCUGCUGAGCUUUUAAUGAGAUUACAAUAGAAUCAUAGAACAGUUUGUGUUGAAAGGGACCUUAAAAAUCACCUAGUUCCAACCCCACUGCCGUGGGUAGGGACACUUCCCACCAGCCCAGGAUGCUCAAAGCCCCAUCCAGCCUGGCCUGAACACCCCCAGGGAUAGGGCAUCCACAGCUUCUCUGGGCAGCCUGUGCCAGUGCCUCACCACCUUCAUAGUGAUGAUUUUUUUCCUUAUAUCUAAUCUAAACCUGUUGUUUUUUAGUUUAAAACCAUUACCUCUUGUCCUAUCAUUACAGUCCCUGAUAAAGAAUCUCUCCCUAUCUUUCCCCUUUAGGUACUGGGAGGCUUCUAUCAGAUCUCCCCAGAGCCUUCUCUUCUCCAGGCUGAACAACACAAACUCCCUCAGCCUGUCUUCACAGGGGAUGUGCUCCAGCCCUCUGAUCAGCUUUGUGGCCCUCCUCUAACUGGCUCUAUAGUAAUUAAACUACAGUCUCUAUUUGCACCACUAUUAUUAAUUUGUUGCAUGAAGAUGUCACCUCUCUUCCAAGCACAGCAUCCCUGAGGCCCCAAAGCAAGCACAUAUGGUGACACACAGCUCUGUUCCAGCAAGGCUUUCUAAGCCUUUCAGUCCUCCUGAGCAAGCAAGGCACCUCUUCUCUACAUACCCUGCCACAGCAGCUUGGAGCCCACGGAGUAAAUAGAUCUUAUUAGAGGAGGAGACAGUUCUUGGGAAUGAUAAAACAAAGAGCAAAGCAAGAAUUGCCGGGCCGUCUGGGUGCCUCAAUGGCUGAGGAAAAGCUGAUGCCCAGAUAUAACUGCAACGUCAGUGAAGUUACCAUUGUGAACCUGCAGCCCAAGAAGAAUCCCAUCCUCAUCCUGCCAAAAGAGAAGCCAGGAAGUGAACAUAGAAACUCUGGUUUCCAUCCUCCUUCUCCCAGGAUGUCAGAAAAGAGGAUAGCCCAGGGAGAGAAAAAUCUGUGGCCUGAAAAGGUAAGAAAAGAGGGGCCUUUGUCUCCAGGCUUGCAUCGUGCGAAUGAGUCGAGUAGCACAGAGAACAUUGCCCUGAAAAGGCCAGUGAAGUUGGCUCCCCUGGAGAUCCCUGUGGAAGUGAAAGAAGCCCAGCUCCAAAAGAUUAUGAGCAUCCAGAGAGAAGCCCAAAUGGCUGCUCAGAAGCUGACAGCUAUCAACUCCAUCAGCAAUGAACCCCAUGUGAAAAGAGUGAAGAAUCUCUCCCAGGGGGAGCUGGAAAACCUUCAUAAGAUAAGGCUGAAUGAGAAAGCUGCAAUGGAGAAUAAAGAUAAUCCCCUUUCUCCUAAAAGCAGCAGGCCCCUGGGAGAAAUUCAAGUUAUUUUGCCUCCAGAGACAAGCUCAAAGUUGACUAAGCAACCAGGUGUUGGAGAGGCUCCUAAGACACUUCAUAAGCUGUUAAUCCCCACUCUCCAAGUGGACAUGCAUGAAGAGUCUAACAGCCCUGACAGCAUCCCUGAUCCUCACCAGAACACUUCUAGACGCCGAUUCAGGGUAAAGCACGUGAAAGAGCAGCAAGAAGACCACGGGAAAGCCACACCCUUAAAGGUCAUGGAUCCAAGUGUGGGAGAAGGCAAGAAGAAAUCUGCAGGUCAACGAACACAAAAAACCCUGAGCGAUGCAAGCAAGCUCAUUGAGAAUGUAGCCAAAAAGCAGAAGGAGAGAGGAGCACAGCAAGGGGAAACAGAUGAAGCUUCUUUUGUAAGGAAACAGUCUACUCGAAGGAUGGCCUUGGGAGACAUCAUCCAGGUAGAUGAAGACUGAAUAUCAUGAUAUUGGUCAUGCACGGGAGAUUUAGACACAACAGCUACCCAGUAAAGUGCUUUAGACUGACUGCUUAGAAGUCUUCAGAAGAGUAUCUAGAAGCAUUAGUAGACCACAAAGUGAAAAGAUUAGCGUUGUUGAACAUCUUCAUACUUUCUGAGAUGCACAGAAGUGUCAAAUAUCCUCCUACUCUGUUCAGUACUAGAAAUGCCCUGGCUGAAGUCCUGAGCCUCAUGUGGAGUACAACAUUUCAAGACAGAUGUGGACUAUGCAGGGAAAAUCUAGUUGUGUCAUGGGUGGAAGGACCCAGAGAAAAGCAGGAUCCUGGAAAAUCUUGUAUUUGGUGCAAGACUGAAAGAAAUAACUUUAUUUGCUUUUGAGAAUAGAGCCCUGCCCUUUUCAUCUGUGGCUGAAAAGAAAGGAAAGACUUUGAAGAAAGUCUUCAAAGACGUUGAAGAAAGACUGAAAAUGUUCUUCAUAUCCACUUUGAGCAGGACAAAAAGUAAUUUGCUUAAAAUUUAGCAAGAAACGUUUAAGGUAGAAAAGGAGAAAUAAUUUUAAAGACAAUAAACACCAAACAAUGCUGUUUACA